AUGUAGUGUUUGAUUGUUGUGAAUUGCCAUGCCAUGCCUUGCAUAAUUUAAACUCGACAUGCAUCAUAUUAGGGUGUGCAUCAUAUCAUGCAUGUGUGUGGUGAAUAUCGUGUGUUGAUGCAUGUUUCCGGUUUGCUUCGUCUCGAUAGAGUUCCGCAAGCGUGUCGGAAUGUGAGGACCCGUUCGACUACGUCGGUUCGUCUGCUUCACGGAGUCGUUCUUCUUCCAAGCGGGAUCUCAGGCAAGAUGACCAUUUCCCUAGAUACCAUUACUACCAAUGCCAUGCUAGUUGUCUUGUUUCUGUCGCUAUGUCUCGCUGCCUACCACGUGUUUAAUAUGCCUCCCAACAUUGCCAUGAAAACCUUCAACCUCUUCACAACCUAGCAAACCACUGAUUGUCUAUGUUACUGCUUGCUUAACCAUUUGUUAACGUUUCUAGUUGCAGGUGCAGUUGCUUCCAUGUGAUAACAUGGGUUCAUUGUUAUAUCACCCUAUUAAAUGCUAUUUAAUUUAAUGCACCUAUAUACUUGGUAAAAGGUGGAAGGCUCGACUUUCUAGCUUGGUGUUUUAUUCCACCUUUGCGCCUUAGUUUCGGCUACCGGUGUUAUAUUCCAUAAUUGAGCGCUCCUAACACGAUCGAGAUUGUAAUGGGG
RNAcentral lists this long non-coding RNA (653 nucleotides) under Hordeum vulgare. Its description in RNAcentral is "long non-coding RNA (HVUL_LNC018818)". Lineage: Eukaryota; Viridiplantae; Streptophyta; Magnoliopsida; Poales; Poaceae. The record is from RNAcentral.